RNAcentral lists this ribosomal RNA (468 nucleotides) under uncultured bacterium. RNAcentral describes it as "partial 16S ribosomal RNA". It matches the Rfam family "Bacterial small subunit ribosomal RNA", at positions 28 to 507 of the family's 1533-position model. The record is from RNAcentral.
GACGAACGCUGGCGGCGUGCUUAACACAUGCAAGUCGAACGGAAAGGCCCUGCUUUUGUGGGGUGCUCGAGUGGCGAACGGGUGAGUAACGCGUGAGUAACCUGCCCUUGACUUUGGGAUAACUUCAGGAAACUGGGGCUAAUACCGGAUAGGAGCUCCUGCUGCAUGGUGGGGGUUGGAAAGUUUCGGCGGUUUGGGAUGGACUCGCGGCUUAUCAGCUUGUUGGUGGGGUAGUGGCUUACCAAGGCUUUGCCGGGUAGCCGGCCUGAGAGGGUGACCGGCCACAUUGGGACUGAGAUACGGCACAGACUCCUACGGGAGGCAGCAGUGGGGAAGAUUGCACAAUGGGCGGAAGCCUGAUGCAGCAACGCCGCGUGGGGGAUGACGGCCUUCGGGUCGUAAACCGCUUUCGCCUGUGACGAAGCGUGAGUGACGGUAAUGGGUAAAGAAGCACCGGCUAACUACGUG